This 497-nucleotide ribosomal RNA is filed under the name uncultured bacterium. RNAcentral's name for it is "partial 16S ribosomal RNA". It matches the Rfam family "Bacterial small subunit ribosomal RNA", at positions 28 to 507 of the family's 1533-position model. The record is from RNAcentral.
GAUGAACGCUGGCGGCGUGCCUAAUACAUGCAAGUCGAGCGAACAGACGAGAAGCUUGCUUCUCUGAUGUUAGCGGCGGACGGGUGAGUAACACGUGGAUAACCUACCUAUAAGACUGGGAUAACUUCGGGAAACCGUAGCUAAUACCGGAUAAUAUUUUGAACCGCAUGGUUCAAAAGUGAAAGACGGUCUUGCUGUCACUUAUAGAUGGAUCCGAGCUGCAUUAGCUAGUUGGUAAGGUAACGGCUUACCAAGGCAACGAUGCAUAGCCGACCUGAGAGGGUGAUAGGCCACAUGGGAACUUAGACACGGUCCAGACUCCUACGGGAGGCAGCAGUAGGGAAUCUGACGCAAUGGGGGAAAGCAUGACGGAGCAACGCCGCGUGAGUGAUGAAGGUCUUCGGAUCGUAAAAAUCUGUUAUUAGGGAAGAACAUAUGUGGAAGUAACUGUGCACAUCUUGACGGUACCUAAUAAGAAAGCCACGGCUAACUACGUG